GCCGGGAUAGCUCAGCUGGUUAGAGCGUCGGAAUCAUAAUCCGUAGGUCGGGGGUUCAAGUCCCUCUCCCGGUAC
RNAcentral lists this transfer RNA (75 nucleotides) under Ignavibacteria bacterium. RNAcentral's name for it is "tRNA-Met". It matches the Rfam family "tRNA". Rfam says of the family: Transfer RNA (tRNA) molecules are approximately 80 nucleotides in length. The record is from RNAcentral. Lineage: Bacteria; Pseudomonadati; Ignavibacteriota; Ignavibacteria.